UACGGAGGGUGCAAGCGUUAUCCGGAACCACUGGGUUUAAAGGGUGCGUAGGCGGCUAAAUAAGUCAGAGGUGAAAGCUUGCAGCUUAACUGCGAAAUUGCCUUUGAUACUGUAUAGCUUGAAAGGAGCUGAGGUCAGCAGAAUGUGGCAUGUAGCGGUGAAAUGCAUAGAUAUGCCAUAGAAUACCAAUUGCGAAGGCAGCUGGCUGGGCUUACUUUGACGCUGAGGCACGAAAGCGUGGUGAUCGAACAAG
Molecule: ribosomal RNA, 253 nt
Filed under: uncultured bacterium
Lineage: Bacteria
Description: partial 16S ribosomal RNA
Rfam family: Bacterial small subunit ribosomal RNA
Source: RNAcentral